GGAAAUAACUUGAUAACGAUUUAUGUCCCAGAACAUAGGUUCCCUUUUCUAAAUAAUUUAUGCAGCAUAAGGAAGACUGUUGGCUAUUGGUCAGUCAGCUGCUGCCGUUCCCUGUAUUCUCUUUAUCUAAAUCAAAUAAACAUGGGUAGAAAAUGAACCUGGUUUUAGACCAAGGGUAUCUUCUUUUUUGUCUCUCUUUAGUGAUGCUUUUGGUAUUCAUUUACUUGUUGUUUAUUUAGCAAAACCAGUACAGUAGAGGGCCGGCAUUUAUCCUUAGAUUAUACUUUUAGUUAUCAAUAAUCAUGUGUUUUGAAAUAUAUUGUAUGGUAAUUAUUUUCUUUUAAAGCAUCAAAAUUUUGAAGAACAAAUGCAAGGCAUGAAGACCCAGUUAAUCCAGUUGAGCACCUUACUCAGAUUACUGGACAGUGGAUUUUGUAGCUAUUUAGAAUCCCAGGACUCUGGAUAUCUGUAUUUUUGCUUCAGAUGGCUUUUAAUCAGAUUUAAAAGGGAAUUUAGUUUUCUAGAUAUACUUCGAUUAUGGGAGGUAAUGUGGACUGAACUGCCCUGUAAGAAUUUUCAUCUUCUUCUGUGUUGUGCUAUCUUGGAAUCAGAAAAGCAACAGAUAAUGGAGAAGCAUUAUGGCUUCAAUGAAAUCCUUAA
RNAcentral lists this long non-coding RNA (660 nucleotides) under Rattus norvegicus (Norway rat). Its description in RNAcentral is "long non-coding RNA NONRATT026747". Lineage: Eukaryota; Metazoa; Chordata; Mammalia; Rodentia; Muridae. The record is from RNAcentral.